Molecule: transfer RNA, 73 nt
Filed under: Stegodyphus mimosarum
Lineage: Eukaryota; Metazoa; Arthropoda; Arachnida; Araneae; Eresidae
Rfam family: tRNA
About the family: Transfer RNA (tRNA) molecules are approximately 80 nucleotides in length. Their secondary structure includes four short double-helical elements and three loops (D, anti-codon, and T loops). Further hydrogen bonds mediate the characteristic L-shaped molecular structure. tRNAs have two regions of fundamental functional importance: the anti-codon, which is responsible for specific mRNA codon recognition, and the 3' end, to which the tRNAs corresponding amino acid is attached (by aminoacyl-tRNA synthetases). tRNAs cope with the degeneracy of the genetic code in two manners: having more than one tRNA (with a specific anti-codon) for a particular amino acid; and 'wobble' base-pairing, i.e. permitting non-standard base-pairing at the 3rd anti-codon position.
Source: Rfam by way of RNAcentral
GCCUUCGUGGUGUAAUGGUCAGCACACUGAGCCGGUAUUUCAGAGGUCCGUGGUUCGAUUCUCGGCUAAGGAA